Talpa occidentalis (Iberian mole) is the source of this 75-nucleotide small nucleolar RNA. RefSeq annotates it as small nucleolar RNA SNORD113/SNORD114 family. The record is from RefSeq and is a predicted model, not a curated record. The transcript has a single exon. Lineage: Eukaryota; Metazoa; Chordata; Mammalia; Eulipotyphla; Talpidae.
GGGACCAAUGAUGAUGACUGGUGCCGUAUGAGUCAUGGGUCAUGAAUGAUACGUGUCUGGAACUCUGAGGUCCAA